AGAGUUUGAUCCUGGCUCAGAACGAACGCUGGCGGCAGGCUUAACACAUGCAAGUCGAGCGCAUCCUUCGGGGUGAGCGGCAGACGGGUGAGUAACGCGUGGGAAUCUACCUUUUGCUACGGAAUAGCUCCGGGAAACUGGAAUUAAUACCGUAUGUGCCCUUAGGGGGAAAGAUUUAUCGGCAAGAGAUGAGCCCGCGUUGGAUUAGCUAGUUGGUGGGGUAAAGGCCUACCAAGGCGACGAUCCAUAGCUGGUCUGAGAGGAUGAUCAGCCACAUUGGGACUGAGACACGGCCCAAACUCCUACGGGAGGCAGCAGUGGGGAAUAUUGGACAAUGGGCGCAAGCCUGAUCCAGCCAUGCCGCGUGAGUGAUGAGGGCCUUAGGGUUGUAAAGCUCUUUCACCGGAGAAGAUAAUGACGGUAUCCGGAGAAGAAGCCCCGGCUAACUUCGUG
RNAcentral lists this ribosomal RNA (453 nucleotides) under uncultured Rhizobium sp. Its description in RNAcentral is "bacterial SSU rRNA". It matches the Rfam family "Bacterial small subunit ribosomal RNA", at positions 8 to 507 of the family's 1533-position model. Lineage: Bacteria; Pseudomonadati; Pseudomonadota; Alphaproteobacteria; Hyphomicrobiales; Rhizobiaceae. The record is from RNAcentral.